RNAcentral lists this long non-coding RNA (817 nucleotides) under Oryctolagus cuniculus (rabbit). RNAcentral describes it as "lncRNA (ENSOCUG00000038381.1)". The record is from RNAcentral. Lineage: Eukaryota; Metazoa; Chordata; Mammalia; Lagomorpha; Leporidae.
AGUUGGGUCUGGAAGAAAUAAAAAAGACUUUGAGAACGGUCGUCCUGAAGCCUUCGGGAAGGGGACAAAGAGUACAGACCGGGGUAGUUAUUGUUUCAAAAGUGGGAUAUGGCGCUACAAUCUGCUUUCUGUGUGGCGGACGUCCGCAGCUUCCGCGGGGGCAGAAGUUUCUUCAUGUUUAUUCCUUUAAACAAUACUUUUCUGAUACACAAGAAAAGCUGGGAGGAUGGCAAGUGGGAACCAGCAGCAAGCGAGGCUCCGGAUGGAAGCCACCACUGUGGUUUCAGGGUUGGAAAUUUGGUGCACCUUUGGAAGCUCUGAAGAGGGAGGCACUUGUGUGUCUUCUUGCAAAAGGCAUGCUCCUGUCCUGAUCAAGCCAUUGAAGACCCUCCAUUGCCUUGGGGAAAACCUUAUGCUUCUGGUUUGACAUUCUUGUUUGUGUUUCCAUUACCUAGUCCUAGGAAACUCCAACUUAUCCCGAUCCUUCCUGCCUUUUUUUUUUCUUGGUAUAGAUCCCUCUCCCAGUCCAUGAAGCUGGUUGUUUGAAGACUUUUGGUCAGUACCACCUGUUGGUCAUUUAAACAAUGACUCAACCUGUGACUGAAAUUCUAAAUGGAAGACAAAUAUUACAGAUAUUUGAAUAUCCCUUGGUAAUUUACUGAUUGUGACUACCCAAUAUAUUCAAGCACACACAAUGGGCUGCAUAUGUAUCCCACAGUGGUCCUCUAAGGUUAUAAGGGAGCUGAAAAGUUCCUGUAACCUUGUGAUACUAUAACUUCACAAUAAAAUGCAGUAUCCAUGUUUUUGUGGAGCUGCU